AACGAACGCUGGCGGCAUGCCUAACACAUGCAAGUCGAACGAGACCUUCGGGUCUAGUGGCGCACGGGUGCGUAACGCGUGGGAACCUUCCCUUAGGUUCGGAAUAACUCCCCGAAAGGGGUGCUAAUACCGGAUAAUGUCUUCGGACCAAAGAUUUAUCGCCUUUGGAUGGGCCCGCGUUGGAUUAGCUAGUUGGUAGGGUAAAAGCCUACCAAGGCGACGAUCCAUAGCUGGUGUGAGAGGAUGAUCAGCCACACUGGGACUGAGACACGGCCCAGACUCCUACGGGAGGCAGCAGUGGGGAAUAUUGGACAAUGGGCGAAAGCCUGAUCCAGCAAUGCCGCGUGAGUGAUGAAGGCCUUAGGGUUGUAAAGCUCUUUUACCCGGGAUGAUAAUGACAGUACCGGGAGAAUAAGCACCGGCUAACUCCGUG
This 433-nucleotide ribosomal RNA is filed under the name uncultured bacterium. RNAcentral's name for it is "partial 16S ribosomal RNA". It matches the Rfam family "Bacterial small subunit ribosomal RNA", at positions 29 to 507 of the family's 1533-position model. The record is from RNAcentral.